UUCCGUGUUUCGUCUGACCACU
RNAcentral lists this microRNA (22 nucleotides) under Mus musculus (house mouse). Its description in RNAcentral is "mmu-miR-7683-5p". Lineage: Eukaryota; Metazoa; Chordata; Mammalia; Rodentia; Muridae. The record is from miRBase by way of RNAcentral.